UUCUGUUGCCUGAGGUGUAUUCAU
This 24-nucleotide non-coding RNA is filed under the name Cricetulus griseus (Chinese hamster). Lineage: Eukaryota; Metazoa; Chordata; Mammalia; Rodentia; Cricetidae. The record is from RNAcentral.